This 29-nucleotide non-coding RNA is filed under the name Rattus norvegicus (Norway rat). The record is from RNAcentral. Lineage: Eukaryota; Metazoa; Chordata; Mammalia; Rodentia; Muridae.
UACAUAAAGGCAUCUCCUGUUUCGAUGGU